UGACGCUUAAUAGGUAGAGCAUCAGACUUUGAAUCUGAUAGUUGAAGGUUCGACUCCUUCACCGUCAU
This 68-nucleotide transfer RNA is filed under the name Pseudomonadota bacterium. RNAcentral's name for it is "Proteobacteria bacterium tRNA-Gln". It matches the Rfam family "tRNA". Rfam says of the family: Transfer RNA (tRNA) molecules are approximately 80 nucleotides in length. Their secondary structure includes four short double-helical elements and three loops (D, anti-codon, and T loops). Lineage: Bacteria; Pseudomonadati; Pseudomonadota. The record is from RNAcentral.